Chlorocebus sabaeus (green monkey) is the source of this 148-nucleotide non-coding RNA. It matches the Rfam family "Metazoan signal recognition particle RNA". From Rfam's summary of the family: The signal recognition particle (SRP) is a universally conserved ribonucleoprotein. The record is from Rfam. NCBI's taxonomy places the organism in Eukaryota, Metazoa, Chordata, Mammalia, Primates, Cercopithecidae.
GCUGGGCGUGGCGGCGCAUGCCUGUAAUCCCAGCUACUUGGGAGGCUGAGGCAGGAGAAUCGCUUGAACUCAGGAGGCAGAGACUGCAGGGAGCCAAGAUUGCACCACUGCACUCUAGCAUGGGUGACAGAGUGAGACUCUGUCUCAA